CACUGAAUUCACAAUUUUCAGACAGAAGUUGCGGACAAUUCGCCGGCUAUUCCAUCCGGUGAUGCGGUGGCAAGUACUACUGCGACCAAACCAGCUGCAGACAGUACUGACGACAAAACAACAGAUUCUGCCGCGGUGGGUCGGUACACUGACAUUCAGGAAGAGGGUGUGACCGUGAACGAGAUCAACAAGAGAGUGUUGGGGAAGCUGAUAGUGGAGAAAGUUGGGAACGAGGGAGCUGACGUCACGGCCCGGGCGGCGGUGCUGAGGACUGUCCUUCAGCGGGCUAUAACACACCUGGAGAGUCAACCAGCUGAGGUUUGGCAGAAUGCUGAAUUACUGAUAAUCGAUAAGUUUGGGCAGGUGUACCCCAUACGUUCUGGACAGGCCGAGAACAAGUUCGUACUGUACUACGAUGGAAUGGACAACAUCAAGUUCACAUGUACACAGAGAGAAACGUGGAAGUGGCCAUGGCAAUGGGGCAGUUCCGAAGACAAACCCAAGGCAGUGGAGGACAAGUCUUCCUUGUAGUUUUGUCUAGAUUAGGCCAUGUUAAAUUGGUUAUAUGGAUGACAUCCUCUGGGUAUCCCAAAACUGAUGCGCACGUGUGAAUAAAAACGUUUGGCCGAAAAAGUGGCCUGGGAGGCUGAA
Molecule: long non-coding RNA, 651 nt
Organism: Branchiostoma floridae (Florida lancelet)
Lineage: Eukaryota; Metazoa; Chordata; Leptocardii; Amphioxiformes; Branchiostomatidae
Exons: 3
Source: RefSeq, a predicted model, not a curated record